UGCAGCUUGAGAUCUAGAUAACAGCUAAAACUGUUUACACAGGUUACCUAAAGGACUCUGGAAAACACUGAAAGUGGAUUUGCAAAUCUCAUCCAAUGUUGGCUGGCACUACACUAUGCCCCAAGCCAAACCAUCCUAAAUCCAUAACUUCUCAAGGAGGACAUUUGCUUCCUCUGUGAUUACCAGAGCCAGGAGAUUCCACCACCAUUUGGAAAAAAAAACCCCGAAAAACAAACAAAAAAAAAACCAAAACAAACUAAAAUACCUUACAUCUUCUUACUAACUCCAGUGAUUAUUCAGAAAGGAGAGUUGUUACCUGCCUACUUUCAGGUGGACGAUUUUUACUUGGAUAUUGCAUCAUCUAGAGUACGAUAUUGCAGAGGCUGAAGCCAGUGGAGGUUGUAUUAUUAACCAAAGGAGCCAGGUCAGAUCCCAGACAUGAAAUCAUGUCACUAGAAUUGUAAUUGCUAAUGCCCUCACUGACUAGAAGGAGCACAGCAGCAAUCGUGUACUUUGAUGAAGUGUUGCAUGAUCUACUUUAUGCCCCUGCCAGCCACAGCAGAAUUAGUAAGAAUGUUACCUGCUGCUAGGUCACAUUAGCAGGCAGGACAGCAAAUGAAACACAUCUCAUCUCCUCCACCUUGUCCUUCCUGAGUCUCUGCUGAAAAUGUCCUGUGCUCAGUGCCAGUUCUUCCUUCUAAGCAUUCAUAGGAGCUGCUGUGGCAGCCCCAGGGAGCCCUGUAGGGUCUUUGCUGGCAAUCUCUAGUCCUCGAACAGUGCCCACUUCAUCUGUAGAUCCCAGUGGGUGAAGCCUAUGGAUCAGCAUGAAUAUUUCUGGUUGCCCAGAGACAGAUCGUUCUCAGCCUCAUGAUGACCACAGGAGUAGGAAACUUUUCUUGGUGACCAUUCCCAUAAUACAGCUCCGAGCUCAGCUGAGUGCUAUAUUCAUCUCCCUGCUGGUGGGUUGGGAGCAGGCUAGCAAGGCAAAUCAAGGGCCCUCAGCUUCCCGGAGAUCCUCAGCAGCACAAAGUGCCAUGAAUACCUGA
RNAcentral lists this long non-coding RNA (1046 nucleotides) under Phasianus colchicus (ring-necked pheasant). RNAcentral describes it as "lncRNA (ENSPCLG00000018028.1)". The record is from RNAcentral. Lineage: Eukaryota; Metazoa; Chordata; Aves; Galliformes; Phasianidae.